GCCGGGUGUGGUGGCGCAUGCUUGUGGUCCCAGCUACUUGGGAGGCUGAGGCAGGAGGACCACUUGAGCCCAGGAGGUUGAGGCUGCAGUGAGUUUUGAGUGCACCACUGCACUCCCGCCUGGGUGACAGAAGGAGACCCUGUCUCUU
This is an unclassified non-coding RNA of Pongo abelii (Sumatran orangutan), 148 nucleotides long. It matches the Rfam family "Metazoan signal recognition particle RNA". Rfam says of the family: The signal recognition particle (SRP) is a universally conserved ribonucleoprotein. It is involved in the co-translational targeting of proteins to membranes. The eukaryotic SRP consists of a 300-nucleotide 7S RNA and six proteins: SRPs 72, 68, 54, 19, 14, and 9. Lineage: Eukaryota; Metazoa; Chordata; Mammalia; Primates; Hominidae. The record is from Ensembl.